GUUUUCAGAAAACACAUUAAAAAUUUAUUUUAAAUAUAUUAUAAAAGGAAGUCCAUUCAACUUUAAAAACACUAGGCAUUCUAUCAAUGAUUCCCAAUUUAUGAAAGCUACUACAUUAAAGUGCUACAAGUCCUUUACCACCCCCAGAUAUUAGGCUGUUGCUCCUAAUACGCACAAAAUAAAUACACACUGAUUCAAGAGGCACCAUCCAGUUUUACAGAGAAAUGCAUGCAGUACAAGGUACAGACAAACUUAGACCUAAUCACCGAGAUCCUAGAGGAUGCAUUUUGAAACCAAUUCCCUUCUCCACCCUAGAGGCUAAAGCUAUUUGUUGCUGUUACUGUGAGGGCUAAAGUUUCAGGCUGUUAGCUUGAUCAGUUUUUAUCUUGUUUUGUGGUUGAAGUUCACAUUUGUUUGCUCAAUACCAGGGAUUAAGACUUUCCUUCAUGCGUUGAACCAGUAUAUUUAAAACCACAUUGAUCCAAUGGCUUUAUAUAAAACUCCCAAAUCACUGACAACUGCUGGAAUCAUUGAAGCCUUUUGGGUCAUACAGAAGCAUCAAGAAAGCUCAAAUGCAGUUAAUUAAGGAGUGUACUCAGCUAGCAGAGGCAGAGUCAAAAACAGACACAGGCUUUUCGUUAGGGUUUCCAUGAUCUAUCAUUCCUAGUUUUAUACAGAUCCUCCAAGCUAAAGCAUGGCACUACAAAGUAGAAAUCAGAGCAGGAGGUGAGCUUAUUUUGGUUACACUUCAAAUUUAUAAUGUGAAUAAAUCAAUCUGACUGGUUAAUGAGGAAUAUGAAAUGAAUUGAUGACUCUGUGUUGAAUGCUGAUGGCAAUUUCAGAUCUCAUUUCCCAUUCUCCACCCACUGCAUCUCUCUCCAAUUGAACCAGGUGAGGAUUUCCAGCUUGUUUUAAAAUCUGGACUCAAGACUCAUUAGGUCAGAAAAUAAAGCACUUAAAGGUGAAUCCUACACAAGCUGGGAAACUGCAGCAUAGACUUUCCUUGCUUAAGAUCGAGUAAGAGGCCAUGGCAGCCAGGGAGCAGCACCCAGUGCUCCUGACUCACAAGGCAGCUGCCCUUUGCUGUGACACCACCCAGUGAAUCCACAAACCCCAGCAGCAGGGAGUGCAUGUGGGACACAAGGUGCAUCACUUGGGCUGUUUCACACAGGGCUUUACCAGGGCUCCUGUGACAGGCUGACUGCCAGAGGCUGGCUGUUCUCUCCAAUCAAUUCUAAGUCCCUGUCUGUAUCCUGAAAGACAAUUUAGAAUAAAAUCUCCCCCCUUUUCACCUGGCAGUUCCAUGAUUGCCCAAUCUGACUAUUAGGAGAUGUCUCCCCUGGGUGAUGUGAGCCAGGAGAGCUGCUGUCACAGCCCUGCAGCAGCGCCAGAGCACUGUGCUCCUGCAAUGCUGCUGGUGCCUGUUUGACUCUCAGGUCACUGAUCUCAGUGCAGCAGGGAGAAGGAAAACUGCUGUAAAACAAACCACGAGGAAAGUUAGGCUGAGAAAUUGCUUUCUUGCUACUUCUGUAUUUGAGAUUUGAAUACACUCUUGAAAAAGUUUCCUAUUGAUGGAAGGCAUCAACUUCUUCUGAAAGACACUUCUGCUACAGAUUUUAUAUGCUUUUGGGACUAUAUGUAUUUUGCAUACAUAGAAAAUAAAAUGCAGGAUCCUGCAUGCCAGUGAAAUCAUGAGCCUUCACCAUGAGGUGAAACAUCCAGCAGCUAACCAAGAUUAUCUUCCAGUACAGCUUCAGCUGUUACAACACACCCAGAGGAAGCUGCCAGCCUUUCCAAGUCUUCCUAUUAGGAGUGACAAACCUCCCCAGAGUCAUUAACCAGAUCGAUUUAACAGAGGGAACCCAGGAGCUUCUGAAUUACUGUCGUUCACACAAAUUUUGCACUGAAAAUCAGACAUUAAAAAAAAAAAAUCCCACACACAAACCCUGCAGGAGUCAAGCUUUCUUUUACAUCCUUAUCCCCCAACCCCUUUUCCUCUUCUCUCUUGUCCAGCAAGGCACUAGGAAAUGGUUCAAGUUUAAGCAUUUGCUGUACAUUUACAUUUAAAAAGGCACAUCUUUAUUUUAAUGAUGCUGUAUUCCCCUUUCAGGAAGGCUCACACUUUCUUCUAUUGUGGUUUGAAAAAGAGAAUUAAUUUCCUAGGUAUGAGAAAAGACACCUUGCACACAUGAGAGCCCCAAACCUAUUUACUGUCUGUAGGCCUUAGAGAUUAGCACCAAGUAUAGAUCAACAACAGCUUCAAGAGCAAAUCAAAGUAUUUUUAUGCAACAUAACACACACCCUGUUGUCUGGGAUUCUGAUACUUAAAAGCAGCAAAACAUAUGCAGCCACAAAAAGAGGGUGUUUCAAUACCUUUGGGGGGAAAAGAUGAAAACAUGUAUUUGGCAUUCGAUAAUCACCAGUAUUUAAUCUCCAGUCUUGACUUGCAUGCAGAUGUGAAGAUUUGAUUAUGUAGUCAUGCUUUAGUGAUUUUGCUUACAAAUAACCAAAAGUAAUUGAAAUAAUUAAUCAGAUUGCCCUGCAAAGGCUCAGUUAAAGAUGCAGAUGAUAAAAUACACCUUAUAUUUCUCAAUCAGUGGAUGGUUGGCUAAUAUUAAGUCUUUGCAUUAGUCAACAAAGCCUCUAGGGUACUGAAAAGUGUAACUGAUGCAAAUAAUUAAUAGCUCAAAACACAGUGAGCUAGUCAGAAGUGUACAGAAUUUGUGAGGCUCUUGCCCCACUCAGAUCCCAAACCUUCAGAAGAGAGAUCAACCACACUGAGAUGGACCUGGUACAACCACUGCCACUAAAUCUCCAGUUUCUGUGUACUGGUGGUGGGUUGUCAAAUGGAAUUGCCUCAACUAUUGCCUAGUCUGUUGGUGCAAGCUGCUAAGAGCUGACCUUUCUCUCCAAAUUAAGAUCACCAAGUGGUAAAAGACCUGUUCAUUGCUGCAGCUUGCCCUGAAGGAAGAAUCCAGUGAGCCAAGCUAGGGCUCCCUUCACAAGGUGAGCCCAAGUACAAAGCAAGCCAUGCAGUUUAGAAACAGAAGCUAAUCCUCUCAUUAGAAAACUAAGACACACAAAGCUGCAACCUGCAAGCAGAAUAACCUACAGUCCAUUUAUAGAAUAUGCUGAUUGUGUCCCAGUUAUAAAAAACUAGCACUGUUCAUGGACAAACAGCUUCUUGUUCCACAGGCAUUAAAACAUUCAUAAAGACAUCUAGUCAGGCCAUCUAGUGGCUCCACAGUCAGCACUGCUCUGCUAAUGAGAGCAUUAAUAACUUAGGGAAAGCAGCAGUCAGACACGAAGUGCUGGAAGGUGACUCUGGCUCCCACAGAAAUGCAAAGGGAUCCUAAUGAUAGACAUACUGUAGUAACUGAGAACAUAAGAUGUCAACUCUGCUUGAAGCUGGUCUCACUUCCACCUAAUACUGCUGCAGAACUGUCAUAAAGGAAGUCUAGGGCUGUUUUUCUUUCUUUAUUGCCAAAAUCUUAGACAUCAAAAUCUGGAAAGUCCGGUCCCAGCUGCAAAUGCAGUGGCCAUGUUUCCUGUUCUCCAUGACUGCAUGGACCAGCUAAGUUGGCAGGAAGGGUCAGACGUGGCCUCAGUGGUGUGGAUCAGACAGGUGGAAACGAUUCUGAGCCUCCUACACAAUCCUGGAGAGUUUGGGGGCAGGCAGCUGUGUCCUUGUUUGCUCCCAGCUGCCAGGCACGGCACUACAUGGCCUCCAACACAUCUGAAACACGGGACACAACCCUACAACUGGCAACAAAAGGGCUUUUUGCUUCUGGAGCUCUGCAGAGGGAGCCACCCUGCUUGUUUUGGGACACUAGGGUAGCAACUCCUUGCCUUCACAUGAACAACACCCCAGAGCAGAGCUUUCCUGCCCCUGAGGAGGGGCAAUGCUCAUCAAGCAUCCCACAGGGGUCCCAUCCCCAUCACCCCAGAGCUGGGUGCCUGCUACCUACUCUUGCAACACCCCUGCAUGGGCAGCUGGACAAACCAAGGAGCUGGGCAAUUCCUGGCAAAGGAAUCCUGUUUAUUAAUUUACACAGCAUCUGUUCACUGCGUCAUCAUUCACAGCUUUUACCAGAAAAUGUCACUGCUCCCUUCAGUACAAGACUAAGUCAGGGGAACCAGUAAAUGUGUUUUUGCAACAACUUCAUUUGAAACCAGAUUUUUUAAAAAUACUUGCUUCAGAUAGACUUGAACCAAUGAUCCUCCAUUCAUUCUUUAGUGUCAGUACAUUCCAGCUCCUAGGAUGAGACAAUCCUGGUUCACUGUCUGGCAGAUCCCACAGCCAAAGCAGAAGGGGUAACACCUUGUCUGCUCACUCACUGCACAAAAGAGAGGGUACCAGGAAAAUGGGUCAAUCAGUCCCACAUCUCUGCUAAAGCAAAUAGAUUUCCAGUCACAGUAAACUGCACAGUGCUGUGGGUGCUGGGAAAUGAGGAGAGAUUAAUUAGCACGUUUCCACAAGGCUAGAACACCACUGACCACAGGACUUAAGAAACUACAGACUGAUGAACAAACAGAUAAAGACCAACGGCUAAUCUCAGCCCUGAAUUUAUUAUCCUGAAUUAAUCUGCUCACACCAACUGUAAAUUAACUUAGCCUUCAAACUAGGAAAAAUGGAAAUUGUCUUCAUGCAGUAGAUUUAACUCAGAAAUCCUAGAGAUGUGUGUGCUAAAAAGGUUAUAUGAGGCAAAUUUGGAAUCUGAUAUCCAAAGGCUUUUAGCAUAAAGUCUUUAUCUGUAAGAACUGUGAUUAUUAAAAAACCCUCUGCUAAUCUUUCACCUUGAAGAUUCAACAGUGAGUGACAAACUGACUGCAAAGUGAAUGGACCAGAAACCCAGAUUCCUCAUGGCUAAUAACAACAGCCAUAUUCCCAACACUUGGCUGCACUUCCACUAGAGCUCAUUCCUUCAUCAGAGCUAUGAUUUGGAAAGUAAUAAUACUCAACCUGUUUGAAAUAUAUUUGGUUCAGGGCAAAAAAAUACACAUUUCAUGGGGUUUUUCUUUUUUUUUUUUUUUUUGAUUGGAGGCUUAAAUCUUGUCUUCAAUAUUUUACUUAUAUGGAGUUUGGAAGAUAAAGCACCUGUUUGGGAAUGCUUCAGUGGGUGGUAUAGCAGCUACAAAAAGUCCUGCAGGGUCCUGGAUAACAAAAUCAUUUAACACUAGACCCCAGUGGGAAAUAAA
This 5199-nucleotide long non-coding RNA is filed under the name Taeniopygia guttata (zebra finch). RNAcentral's name for it is "lncRNA (ENSTGUG00000029341.1)". The record is from RNAcentral. Lineage: Eukaryota; Metazoa; Chordata; Aves; Passeriformes; Estrildidae.